GAAUAUUGGACAAUGGGCGAAAGCCUGAUCCAGCCAUGCCGCGUGUGUGAAGAAGGUCUUCGGAUUGUAAAGCACUUUAAGUUGGGAGGAAGGGCAGUAAGUUAAUACCUUGCUGUUUUGACGUUACCGACAGAAUAAGCACCGGCUAACUCUUUGCCAGCAGCCGCGGUAAUACAGAGGGUGCAAGCGUUAAUCGGAAUUACUGGGCGUAAAGCGCGCGUAGGUGGUUUGUUAAGUUGGAUGUGAAAGCCCUGGGCUUAACCUGGGAAUUGCAUUCGAUACUGUCUUGCUAGAGUACGGUAGAGGGAAGUGGAAUUUCCGGUGUAGCGGUGAAAUGCGUAGAUAUCGGAAGGAACACCAGUGGCGAAGGCGACUUCCUGGGCCAGUACUGACGCUGAGGUGCGAAAGCGUGGGGAGCAAACAGG
Molecule: ribosomal RNA, 425 nt
Filed under: uncultured bacterium
Lineage: Bacteria
Description: bacterial SSU rRNA
Rfam family: Bacterial small subunit ribosomal RNA
Source: RNAcentral